This 345-nucleotide ribosomal RNA is filed under the name Triticum aestivum (bread wheat). Its description in RNAcentral is "partial small subunit ribosomal RNA". Lineage: Eukaryota; Viridiplantae; Streptophyta; Magnoliopsida; Poales; Poaceae. The record is from RNAcentral.
AUGCUGAGACUGGGGCUUAUCACACCCAGUGUGAGUCCGUCUUCUUCCCCGGUACUUCUGGUCAAAAAGAAGGAUCAGACAUGGAGAUUUUGCGUUGACUUCCGACACCUCAAUGCAAUAACCAUCAAGUCAAGGUAUCCAAUACCAGUGAUCGACGAGCUCUUGGACGAAUUAGCAGGAUCCACUUGGUUCUCGAAGCUGGAUCUCAGGGCAGGCUACCACCAGAUCAGGUUGUUGCUAGAGGACGAGCAUAAAACAGCUUUCAAGACCCACCAUGGCCACUUUCAGUUUCGGGUGCUGCCAUAUGGAGUGACGGGCGGCCCCCCUAUCUUCCAGGGUACCAUG